This 612-nucleotide ribosomal RNA is filed under the name uncultured bacterium. RNAcentral's name for it is "bacterial SSU rRNA". It matches the Rfam family "Bacterial small subunit ribosomal RNA", at positions 338 to 951 of the family's 1533-position model. The record is from RNAcentral.
CCUACGGGAGGCAGCAGUAAGGAAUAUUGGUCAAUGGAGGCAACUCUGAACCAGCCAUGCCGCGUGCAGGAAGAAGGCCCUAUGGGUCGUAAACUGCUUUUGUACCAGAGAAAACCACAGUACGUGUACUGUGUUGAUAGUAUGGUAAGAAUAAGCAUCGGCUAACUUCGUGCCAGCAGCCGCGGUAAGACGAAGGAUGCAAGCGUUAUCCGGAUUCAUUGGGUUUAAAGGGUGCGUAGGCGGACUGAUAAGUCAGUGGUGAAAUCUCUCAGCUUAACUGAGAAACUGCCAUUGAUACUGUUAGUCUAGAGUAUAGAUGACGUUGGCGGAAUAUGACAUGUAGUGGUGAAAUACUUAGAUAUGUCAUAGAACACCGAUUGCGAAGGCAGCUAACGAAACUAUAACUGACGCUGAGGCACGAAAGUGCGGGGAUCAAACAGGAUUAGAUACCCUGGUAGUCCGCACCGUAAACGAUGAUUACUCGUUGUUGGCAAUAUGACCGUCAGCGACCAAGCGAAAGCGAUAAGAAUCCACCUGGGGAGUACGCCGGCAACGGUGAAACUUAAAGGAAUUGACGGCGNGAGAGNGCGAGGACGACGACGAGGGAGGAGG